GUUCUGUUCGAUUUGGUUUUGUUCUGUUCAGUUGAAAAUGUUUCAUUCAAAUGAAAAGGUGGAAUUUUUUUGAAAGUUGCUUUUGCGCAUCUUUAUUGCAUAUUUUUCUUCUUCUAUUCACAAACAUUUCGGUAUGGCGCGGCCUGUAAACAACGGGGACUCCAAGUAGGUUUUUUUCAUUCACUGGCGCCAUUAGAAUUUGUAUUAAUCAGUUAUUCAUUUACGC
Molecule: long non-coding RNA, 226 nt
Filed under: Drosophila guanche
Lineage: Eukaryota; Metazoa; Arthropoda; Insecta; Diptera; Drosophilidae
Source: RNAcentral